AGCAACGGACUUCGACCUCCAGCUGUCUUAACUCAUAAGCAUCAACUUCUUCGGUACAAAUGAUUUUUAUAUUGCAAUAAUUUAACCCCUUAAACAAAACUAACACAUUAAUUUAUUUUUAAAAAAAUAACAGUAAAAAAUCUUGACCGUUAAAAAAAAGAAAAAUGAAAAAAAAAAAAAGAAUCUCAGUGAAUAGCAAAAACAAUACUCCUUCCCCAAUCCCCUUUCCUCCAAACCCUCCGCCUUGAACUCUUAUCUCUCCUCCCAAACCCCCCAAUCCUCUCUCUCUACUUUCUCUCUCUAGAAAUUCUCCUCCAUUUUCACCCAAAAUCCAAUUUUGAUCAGGACCCAUUAAUUAAUUUGAAGGUAGGAGAGAGAAAGAGGGAGAGGGGGGCAAAAUUUUCAUAAAAAAAGAUGGAUUCAGAUCAAGGGAAGUUGUUUGUAGGUGGGAUUUCAUGGGAAACAACAGAGGAGAAGCUCAAAGAGUAUUUUGGGCAAUAUGGUGAUGUUUUUCAAGCUAAUAUUAUGAGAGAUAAAGCUACAGGUAGACCUAGAGGUUUUGGCUUUGUUCUUUUUUCAGAUCCUUCUGUUAUUGAUCGUGUUCUUCAGGAUAAACACACCAUUGAUGGCAGACCUGUCGAGGCGAAACGAGCUAUGUCGAGAGAAGAGCAGCAGAAUUCCGGAAGAGCUGGAAGCAACAAUGGUGGUAGAAGUGGAGGUGGAGGGGGAAACUUCAGGACUAAGAAGAUUUUUGUUGGGGGAUUGCCUCCUACUGUAACUGAUGAAGUAUUUAGGGAAUAUUUUGAGAAUUAUGGCCAAGUAACUGAUGUAGUUAUAAUGUAUGAUCAGAACACACGUAGACCUCGAGGUUUUGGAUUCAUUUCUUUUGACAGUGAGGAUGCAGUAGAUAGGGUUUUACAAAAUACCUUUCAUGAUUUGAAUGGUAAGCAAGUUGAGGUGAAGCGUGCUUUACCAAAAGAUGCUAACCCUGGUAUGGGUAGUCGUGGUAGUGGCGGUCUGAAUGCUUUUGAAGGUAGAAUGGAUUCUAAUAGAUAUAUGCAACCUCAGAAUGCUGGAGGUGCAUUUCCACCUUAUGGUUCUUCUGGUUAUGGUGCAGCUGGUUAUGGAUAUGGGCCUGCUAGUGGCAUGGGUUAUGGUGGGUAUGCCGGGUAUGGGGGAGCAAAUCCUGGGUAUGGUGGUCCUGCAAGUGCAGCUUAUGGAAACCCUAAUCUUUCAAAUGCCCAAAGGAGUUCAUGGAAUGCACAGGCUGCCUCUGCUUAUGGUGCAGCUGGGUAUGGAAGUGCAGGUCCUUGGGCUGCUUCUGGUGCAGGAAGUGGACUAACUGGUCAAUCUCCUAGUGGAGCGUCUGGGUAUGGAUAUGGUAAUUAUGGUGGCAGUGAUGGAUAUGGAAGUGUAGGAAAUCGUGCUGGAGGUGCCCCUGGUAGUAAUGCCUCUGCUGGUGGAGAGAUGCAAGGGGGCUAUGGUGAUGCCAAUGGUCAUGGAGGAUAUGGGGCUGGAGGUUAUGGAGCUCAAGUAAAUGGACCUCUUGGUGCUCAGAUGGGUUAUGGUGGUGGAUAUGGUGGGGCUCGAUAAGUGCAGCUGCAGUGGAUUUGCUCCAAGCUGAAUCAUUGAAGCUUGCCCUUCCCAGUGGCAAGGCCCGCAAGGGGAUAGCCUGUUCGGAUCUCAAGCAUACUGUUGGACUGGAGAGCUGCUCGAUUUCUGAAGCAAGGUGGCUACAUGCAGCUUAAAAUCAGUUUCUGCCAGAGCUUUAAAACUUGCUGUCAGUUUUAUUCUGAUGAGAGAUUGCAUUUUGUGAGACUGAUCAACCCAAGCGCGUGCUUUGUGGUUCUAAUCUUCUAUCAAAUUGUGGUGAGCUGAUGGAAAUUUCUAAGCUGAUCUCCAUCUGGUAUGUUGAGUUAAAUUGAGGAUAUAUUCUUCCUUGGUUUAUCCUAUUAGGAAAAUUAGAUAAUCAAAGCUUUUUUUUUUUGUCAUAUAAAAUAGAAAAAGGAGUGUUUUACAUGGUUUAUAAUCCAAGUAUAUAGCUGCUUGUGGCAGUUGAAGUAGGAUACAACCCUUUUCAUCUGAGGAAGUCUCUCAAAAUAGUUGAUUAAUAUUAAUUAGUUUCAUAAGAAACUGCUUUGUCUUAGCGUUUUCUUUUAGUUUUCUGCAGAUUGUUAAUUGUUGAAUCCAUUGGAUCUUCAUGGUGUUUCGGAUCAUCAUAUAUAAUAUAUUGAUGUUUCACAUUA
Molecule: RNA transcript, 2246 nt
Organism: Chenopodium quinoa (quinoa)
Lineage: Eukaryota; Viridiplantae; Streptophyta; Magnoliopsida; Caryophyllales; Amaranthaceae
Gene name: heterogeneous nuclear ribonucleoprotein 1-like
Exons: 3
Source: RefSeq, a predicted model, not a curated record